CACGCAGUAAACGAUGAAUACUAGCUGUAUGCGAUAUACUGUAUGUGGCACAGCGAAAGCGUUAAGUAUUCCACCUGGGGAGUACGUUCGCAAGAAUGAAACUCAAAGGAAUUGACGGGGGCCCGCACAAGCGGAGGAACAUGUGGUUUAAUUCGAUGAUACGCGAGGAACCUUACCCGGGCUUGAAAUGCAGAGGAAUGAGGAGGAAACUUCUCCGCCAGCAAUGGUCUCUGUGUAGGUGC
RNAcentral lists this ribosomal RNA (242 nucleotides) under uncultured Paludibacter sp. RNAcentral describes it as "partial 16S ribosomal RNA". It matches the Rfam family "Bacterial small subunit ribosomal RNA", at positions 796 to 1041 of the family's 1533-position model. Lineage: Bacteria; Pseudomonadati; Bacteroidota; Bacteroidia; Bacteroidales; Paludibacteraceae. The record is from RNAcentral.